Molecule: ribosomal RNA, 261 nt
Filed under: uncultured bacterium
Lineage: Bacteria
Description: partial 16S ribosomal RNA
Rfam family: Bacterial small subunit ribosomal RNA
Source: RNAcentral
GGCACCUACGGGACGCAGCAGUGGGGAAUAUUGGGCAAUGGGCGCAAGCCUGACCCAGCAACGCCGCGUGAAGGAAGAAGGCUUUCGGGUUGUAAACUUCUUUUCUCAGGGACGAAGCAAGUGACGGUACCUGAGGAAUAAGCCACGGCUAACUGCGUGCCAGCAGCCGCGGUAAUACGUAGGUGGCAAGCGUUAUCCGGAUUUACUGGGCGUAAAGGGCGAGUAGGCGGGGAAGCAAGUCAGAUGUGAAAACAAUGGGCU